GGCUGAAAAUGUGUCCUCAUGGCUUAAAACAAGCCCAGGCAAAACUUUCCAGGAGCAGACGGGCAGUUCACACUUCAUCAGGGCAGUUAUGGGACAAACCCAGCCCAGCCUCACAGGAACAAAGGACACUGGCCUAGGCAACAACAAAGGAUCUGUUGGACUCUCAAGUGAGUCACCCCCCUUCCCUUGGUCAGUUUGGGACUACGAUGAGGUAAUGCUCACCUGACUCUGAAGGGGGGGGCAAAGCCAAGAGGGGAAAAAAAAAUAUGAUAAAAGGGAGAGACAUUUGCCAUGCUCUCUCUCUUCCACCUCUAUCUACAGACACCACCACCAAGUGACUGAAGCGCUGACCAAAGUGGGAGAGGAUGGCUGAAGGGCAACCAGCCAGCCUGUGGUAAGAAGCAUCUACGUUUGUAAGGGCACUGAAAGUGUUAAGAAUUUUAGAUGCCAACAAGUGUGACACUGAGAUGGCCCGGAUCAGUAGUUCCCAAGAGCACACUUUCUGGUGACAGCUAGAGUGAAAUUCACCUGGUGCAGGGCUUCAAAUAAGGCUCCAGAUAGCUACCAGUGAUUAGGACUCAAGCUCUAAGCAGAUCUUAUGAUAUACUUGCAAGAUCAUCAAGUGUCAUAGUAGCUGGAGGUUGCAAGAGAUCUUUACUGGAACCCUAUACCGAUUUGUAUGUUCCACAAGAUAUGUGUAGUACAUUUGCAAACUACACAUGUCAUCCCUGCUGGGGCCCCACUGAAAAUGUUCAAAUUGGGCCCCGCACUUCCUAAAGCUGGCCCUGCUUGUACCUCCCAUAAAGGCCCUUCACCCGGACCGCCUGGCCAGUGGUUCACUGCAUUGCAUUCCAUCGUGCCUCAGGAAGACAUACCUUCAUCGCACUAUCCAUCGCUGCGCUGUGGAACACUUACCUUGAAGGAUCCUGACAUCUCCAGUGCCGUGCCUGUCCUGGGAGCGUGAGUAUGCGAAUGUGAGUGUGACACCUCCACUCCCCAUUCUUCUGAGCGUAGCUAUCAAUAUAAUAAACGUGCUGCUUUCUGCCAAACUCUGGUGGGUCAUUAGUCCUCCCUAAGCUUAAUAGCUGGCCCAAGUUUGGGUAACAUUAAUGUUGGAGAAUGCGGGCAGCUUAGUGGAGGAUUUGACCCAAGAAUAGAGGCCCCCUGGUGCCCCCCGGUAGUCUCUUGGGUGGGUCUGGCUCGAGCCAGCAUGAAAAAGUGGUAGGCUAGCAACCCACUGCAGGGAGAAAAGGACACCACUGUUGAGUGCUGGUGUAGGGCAAAGGAGAGAAUUAGGUGUAAAUCCCCUGGUGCCCCCUCCCCGGUAGUCUCUUGGGUGGGUCCAGCUCGAGCCUGCGUGAAAAAGUGGUAGGCUAGCAACCCACUUCAGGUAGAAAAGGACGCCACUGUUGAGUGCCUGCGUAGGACAAGGGAGAGAAUUAGGUGUAACCCCCCUGGUACCCCCUAAUAGCUUCUUGAGUGGGUCCGGCUUGAGCCUGCAUGAAAAGUGGUAGGCUAGCAACCCACUGCAGUAAGAAAAGGACGCCGCUGCUAAGUAUGCCACAGUGGGGCAAGGGGAAGGAAAAGGCAAAGCAGCCUGAGUGAGAAGACACGCCCCCUGCCAUGGGGAGCGGCGCCGCUGCCUGAGGUGUUGUUAGAAUGGUUCCAAAAGAAAGGGGCAGACCCCUGGAUGCAGAUCCCUGGGAGUACAAUUCAUGAGUUGGAGAAGGAACGGGAUAUGUGGAAGGCGCAGGUUCUGACUGUGGAAGUAGAGAAUGCCGCUCUGUGCCAGGCAGUUACCUGCCUGAAGGAUCUGGUCCUGGUGUAGGGAUAUUACAGAAAGUACUAACAGUGAUUCCCCCAAGUGACAGUGAACCCCCCAUAAUUUGUCCCCCACACUUUAAAAUCCAAUAGUUUCACCAAGUACAAAAAUCUCUUGGGUCUUCUGUUAAAACUUGUAAGCUACUGCCUGUAGAAACCAUUGAUUGUAUCGGUCCUAUGAAAGAUAAUUUAUUACUAUGUAAAACUUACAAACAAGUUCAUUGACUUUGUUCUUGAAGUAAUUGAUACAAUGUAAACAAAUGCUAUAAGCCGUUAAGUGACUUUCACUUCAUUGUAACAGCAACGGCUCCUAGGAACAGACCCCGACCCUCUGUGAUUAAAGGGCCGGGAGUCUCAAAUGAAUUAGCACACACCCCAAAAGUGGUGGAGACAGUAAAUUAAAAUACGGUUAAGAUAUGGAAUGUAUGUUGAUGAAUGCUUGAUGUACAUGAAUGGUUAGGGAGGUGCCAGGCUAGAAAGGGAGUAUCCAGCGGCCAAAGAAUGGACAAAGAAUGUGUCAAGUA
This is a long non-coding RNA of Malaclemys terrapin pileata, 2345 nucleotides long. RefSeq lists it as uncharacterized. The transcript is spliced from 4 exons. Lineage: Eukaryota; Metazoa; Chordata; Testudines; Emydidae. The record is from RefSeq and is a predicted model, not a curated record.